UUCCUUUAAUUUCAGCGUGGAUCUUCCACUGGGUCGCAUGCACGCUUUGGAGUUGGAUUCCAAGAUUCAUCUCGUUGGAAGUUUCAAAUAUUUGUCCGUACUUGAUUAUUAUUGUGAUGAUCCUUGCUAUCCUUCCAAAAAAGUCUACGAACUAGACCUUGACAAGGAGGUGGAGGAGUCGAAUCCAAUAGAUGAUUUUUCAAAGUUAUUGAUACCGGGUUCUAUGCUCUUCACAAAAUCUGAAGUGUUUGUUAUUUUAUAAGGAUGUGUGGUCUCGAUCAUCUCGUACAUAAGGCUAGUCCUCCGAAUUUUUGGGUUUUAUGCGCUGCGACCAAGGUUUGGGCCCCUGAUCAUCCUGACCAACACUCACAUUCCUUACUUGAUCACAUGUAUUUCUAUGGUAAGCUAUACCUCCAAAUCUGUUUUGAAGAUGGAAGAGUUUUCAUCUACUCUUAUGACACCUAUAACUCACAUUGGACCAGUGAGGGUGGCAAUAAUUUUACGCGUUCUUUUUUGUGUCCAAGUGGGUGGCCAGCGUCGGUCCUUUCUUCCAAGUAUGUGUACUCCAGGUAUCAGGUAAUUUCCUGCAUCUUCAUGUUGUUUACUCCUGAGUAUUAUUAUUCGUAUUGGUAUUGCUAUUGUUACAGACUUGUUUUAUCCUGGAAAAUACCUGGCACUUUCAUGCAAAUACAUUGGAGAAAAAUACUUGAUGUGUGCUUUCCAGGUGGAUGAAUUGGGUGUCUGUUAUCUUCCAAAGACUUUAAGGCUGCUUAGAUAGAAUGCCAUCCUUCAAUCAUGAGGAAAGGUCUGUGCUUGUUGAUCUUGAUGGCAAAGGCACAUUUCUCGUUAUGUUACCUGGCUUUGCAAAGGAACGAAGACAGGACCCAGUCCUGUGCGUGUUGGGUCUCUCUUUUUCCUGGCAUCCCCUGCAACAAAGCCAUUGCAUACAAGGUCCCAAGGGAAGGAAAAAGAAAAUGCAACCAAAUUUGAGUUCCAAACAUGCUUGCUUGCUUCAAAGGUAAUGUUUGUCUCUCUGUUUUUUGUCAUCAUUGUCUUAUGUACCUUAAAGUAAAGUAGCUUUGUUAUUUGUUGUUGUCUCAUGUUGAUGUGAGUAAGUUUGUCAAUGCAUGUCAUUCUUGUUUCAAUUCAUGAAUAGAGGAAGGUUCUUCCUGGUGAUUUGAUUGUUAGUUUGGAAUAUUGUAUAGAUUCAUGUCAAGGACAA
Molecule: non-coding RNA, 1222 nt
Organism: Arachis ipaensis
Lineage: Eukaryota; Viridiplantae; Streptophyta; Magnoliopsida; Fabales; Fabaceae
Source: RefSeq, a predicted model, not a curated record